UUGGAGGGCAAGUCUGGUGCCAGCAGCCGCGGUAAUUCCAGCUCCAAUAGCGUAUAUUAAAGUUGUUGCAGUUAAAAAGCUCGUAGUUGAAUUUCGGGGUUAGUAGAUUGGUCAUGCCUCUGGUAUGCACUGGUCUCACUGAUUCCUCCUUCCUGAUGAGCCGUAAUGCCAUUAAUUUGGUGUUGCGGGGAAUUUGGACUGUUACUUUGAAAAAAUUAGAGUGUUUAAAGCAAGCUAACGCUUGAAUACAUUAGCAUGGAAUAAUGAAAUAGGACGUUCGAUCCUAUUUUGUUGGUUUCUAGGAUUGACGUAAUGAUUAAUAGGGAUAGUUGGGGGCAUUAGUAUUCAAUUGUCAGAGGUGAAAUUCUUGGAUUUAUUGAAGACUAACUACUGCGAAAGCAUUUGCCAAGGAUGUUUUCAUUAAUCAAGAACGAAAGUUAGGGGAUCGAAGACGAUCAGAUACCGUCGUAGUCUUAACCAUAAACUAUGCCGACUAGGGAUCGGAUGAUGUUAAUUUUUUAAUGACUCAUUCGGCGCCUUACGGGAAAC
RNAcentral lists this ribosomal RNA (549 nucleotides) under uncultured Glomeromycotina. RNAcentral describes it as "SSU rRNA". It matches the Rfam family "Eukaryotic small subunit ribosomal RNA", at positions 548 to 1098 of the family's 1831-position model. The record is from RNAcentral. Lineage: Eukaryota; Fungi; Glomeromycota.